This 253-nucleotide ribosomal RNA is filed under the name uncultured bacterium. Its description in RNAcentral is "partial 16S ribosomal RNA". It matches the Rfam family "Bacterial small subunit ribosomal RNA", at positions 524 to 776 of the family's 1533-position model. The record is from RNAcentral.
UACGAAGGGGGCUAGCGUUGUUCGGAAUUACUGGGCGUAAAGCGCACGUAGGCGGGUUGUUAAGUCAGGGGUGAAAUCCCGGAGCUCAACUCCGGAACUGCCUUUGAUACUGGCAAUCUAGAGACUGGAAGAGGUUAGUGGAAUUCCCAGUGUAGAGGUGAAAUUCGUAGAUAUUGGGAAGAACACCAGUGGCGAAGGCGGCUAACUGGUCCAGUACUGACGCUGAGGUGCGAAAGCGUGGGGAGCAAACGGG